RNAcentral lists this ribosomal RNA (253 nucleotides) under uncultured bacterium. RNAcentral's name for it is "partial 16S ribosomal RNA". It matches the Rfam family "Bacterial small subunit ribosomal RNA", at positions 524 to 776 of the family's 1533-position model. The record is from RNAcentral.
GACGAACCGUGCGAACGUUGUUCGGAAUCACUGGGCUUAAAGGGCGCGUAGGCGGCUUGUCAAGUCAGGGGUGAAAUCCGGCAGCUUAACUGUCGAAGUGCCUCUGAUACUGACGAGCUCGAGGGAGGUAGGGGUCUGUGGAACUUCUGGUGGAGCGGUGAAAUGCGUUGAUAUCAGAAGGAACGCCGGUGGCGAAAGCGACGGACUGGACCUCUUCUGACGCUGAGGCGCGAAAGCUAGGGGAGCAAACGGG